This 427-nucleotide ribosomal RNA is filed under the name uncultured bacterium. RNAcentral describes it as "partial 16S ribosomal RNA". It matches the Rfam family "Bacterial small subunit ribosomal RNA", at positions 355 to 774 of the family's 1533-position model. The record is from RNAcentral.
UGGGGAAUAUUGCACAAUGGGCGCAAGCCUGAUGCAGCCAUGCCGCGUGUAUGAAGAAGGCCUUCGGGUUGUAAAGUACUUUCAGCGGGGAGGAAGGUGUUGAGGCUAAUAACCUCAGCAAUUGACGUUACCCGCAGAAGAAGCACCGGCUAACUCCGUGCCAGCAGCCGCGGUAAUACGGAGGGUGCAAGCGUUAAUCGGAAUUACUGGGCGUAAAGCGCACGCAGGCGGUUUGUCAAGUCGGAUGUGAAAUCCCCGGGCUCAACCUGGGAACUGCAUUCGAAACUGGCAGGCUAGAGUCUUGUAGAGGGGGGUAGAAUUCCAGGUGUAGCGGUGAAAUGCGUAGAGAUCUGGAGGAAUACCGGUGGCGAAGGCGGUCCCCUGGACAAAGACUGACGCUCAGGUGCGAAAGCGUGGGGAGCAAACA